Molecule: ribosomal RNA, 213 nt
Filed under: Triticum aestivum (bread wheat)
Lineage: Eukaryota; Viridiplantae; Streptophyta; Magnoliopsida; Poales; Poaceae
Description: partial small subunit ribosomal RNA
Source: RNAcentral
AUGUACGUACCUAAAAACAAGGGAGGGAUGGGAUUCCGUGAUAUUCAUUGUUUCAACUUGGCAUUGCUAGCCAAACAUGCGUGGCGUCUUCUUGAUAAUCCUAAUUUCUUGUGUGCUACUAUCCUAAGGGCCAAGUACUAUCCGGAUGGCGAUUUGUUGAAUUCCAAGGUAAAGAAUGCUCUUCCUUUACUUGGCAAAGCAUUAUAUCCCUGA